This 526-nucleotide ribosomal RNA is filed under the name uncultured Gammaproteobacteria bacterium. Its description in RNAcentral is "bacterial SSU rRNA". It matches the Rfam family "Bacterial small subunit ribosomal RNA", at positions 367 to 883 of the family's 1533-position model. Lineage: Bacteria; Pseudomonadati; Pseudomonadota; Gammaproteobacteria. The record is from RNAcentral.
GGCCAUGGGCGAAAGCUGAUGCAUCCAUGCCGCGUUGUAUGAAGAAGUGCCUUCGGGUGUGUAAAGUACUUAUCAGUUGUGAGGAAGGGUGUGUAGUUAAUAGCUGCGCAUCUGACGUUAGCCACAGAAGAAGCACCGGCUAACUCCGUGCCAGCAGCCGCGGUAAUACGGAGGGUGCGAGCGUUAAUCGGAAUUACUGGGCGUAAAGCGCAUGCAGGUGGUUCAUUAAGUCAUGAUGUGAAAGCCCGGGGCUCAACCUCGGAACUGCAUUUGAAACUGGUGACUAGAGUGCUGUAGAGGGGGGUAGAAUUUCAGGUGUAGCGGUGAAAUGCGUAGAGAUCUGAAGGAACACCAGUGGCAAGGCACUGACUGGCUCGAUACUGACACUGAGGUGCGAAAGCGUGGGGAGCAAACGGGAUUAGAUACCCCGGUAGUCCACGCCGUAAACGAUGUUUACUAGCCGUUGGAGGCACUUGAUCCUUUGAGUGGCGCAGCUAACGCGAUAAGUAGACCGCCUGGGGAGUAC